GAAUCAACCAUGGUCUUGAUUGAACAUACACAAAAUCAGUCAGCAUCUUGCAGUUGCCAGUUGCCCGUCCCCAAUAGAAAGUAAACUGGUUAGUACAGGGGUGGCAUGGUGAUGGAUUGGUUAGUGCAUCCACCUCACAGUGCAGAGGUGCAGCGUUCAAUUCCAGUUCCGGCCUUCCUUAUGUAGAGUUUACAUUUUCUCCCUGUGCCUGUGUGGGUUUUCCCCGGGUAUUCAGGUUUCCUACCACAAUUCAAAAAACGUGCAUGGCAAGUUAAUAGGGCACUCUAAAUUGUCCCUCGGUGUGAGUGUGAGCGCAAAUGGUUGAUCGUCUAUGUGUGCUCUGCAAUUGACUGGCAACCAGUUCAGGAUGUUUUCCGCCUACUGCCCAAUGGCGGCUGUGAUUGGCUCGGGCACGCUCGCAACCCUCGUGAGGAAAAGCGGAUAAGACAUGGAUGGCUUCGUCGAACUUUGGCCGUCAGGACAGAUGGACGAGUCUACGUGUGAGGGGAACGAUUGAUGUUGAAAAUUAUUUGUACCGAAAUCUGAAGAAAGAAGAGGACCAAGUGUUGGCGGCCAACACUGAGAUGGCGUCAGAAGAUGGUCUACCUGCUUGUGGUCGCUGUUGCACUGACUGUGUCUCGUCGUCCAGGUCCUCCUCUGCACGCGAAAAAAAAUUGAAAUUAAUUUUGACUUUCAUUUGUUAAAUUGUGACAGUACUGAUACUACACCUUUUC
Long non-coding RNA from Hippocampus zosterae (dwarf seahorse), 734 nucleotides. RefSeq lists it as uncharacterized. The record is from RefSeq and is a predicted model, not a curated record. Lineage: Eukaryota; Metazoa; Chordata; Actinopteri; Syngnathiformes; Syngnathidae. The transcript is spliced from 3 exons.